Molecule: microRNA precursor, 208 nt
Filed under: Oryza sativa Japonica Group (Japanese rice)
Lineage: Eukaryota; Viridiplantae; Streptophyta; Magnoliopsida; Poales; Poaceae
Description: MIR812 microRNA precursor family
Rfam family: MIR812 microRNA precursor family
Source: Rfam by way of RNAcentral
AAUAAAUACAGCCGUGGAUAUUCGUGCCCAACGUUUGACCGUCCGUCUUAUUUGAAAAAAUUAUAAAAAAAUUGAAAAUAUUUAGUCACACAUAAAGUAUUAUUCAUGUUUUAUCAUCUAAUAGUAAUAAAAAUACUAAUCAUAAAAAAAUUUUAAAUAAGAUGAACGGUCAAAUGUUGAACGUGAAUAGUGUAAAACUACACUUAUU